This 563-nucleotide ribosomal RNA is filed under the name Pinnotheres pisum. RNAcentral describes it as "partial 12S ribosomal RNA". Lineage: Eukaryota; Metazoa; Arthropoda; Malacostraca; Decapoda; Pinnotheridae. The record is from RNAcentral.
ACUUUCARGAUUAGUAGAGAAGUUAGGGGGUAGUUAAGCGUAAUUUUUUAAAUCUAUAUUUAUUAAAAAGUAAAAUUGGUUUAAUUUUUUAUAGGCAAAAAUAAAUUUAAGUUGAAGCUAGUAACUUUUGGGGUUAAACUAGGAUUAGAUACCCUAUUAUUCCAAGAUUAAAUAAUAACCCCUAGUUAGUAGUAGAUAUUUACUUAAAAUCUAAAAAAUUUGGCGGUAAUUUAAUCUUUUCAGAGGAACUUGUUUUUUAAUCGAUAAACCACGAAAUAUCUUACUUAUCUUAGUAAAAAGUUUGUAUACCAUCAUUAUCAGGUAAUUUUAAAAAAAUAAAUUACUAGGUUUAAGUAUUUAGUUAAAUUAGAUCAUGGUGCAGCAUAUAGAUAAGUUAAAAUGGGUUACAAUAAAUUGUUUUAUACGGAUAAAUAAAUUAAUAUUUUUUUAGAAGGAGGAUUUGAUUGUAUUCUGAGUUUAGUAUGUUUAGAAGAUGGUAGCUCUAAAUUAUGUACAUAUCGCCCGUCGCAUUUCAUUUAUAGGGUGAAAUAAGUCGUAACAUA